ACUCCUGCGGGAGGCAGCAGUGGGGAAUAUUGCACAAUGGGCGCAAGCCUGAUGCAGCCAUGCCGCGUGUAUGAAGAAGGCCUUCGGGUUGUAAAGUACUUUCAGCGGGGAGGAAGGCAAUACGGUUAAUAACCGUGUUGAUUGACGUUACCCGCAGAAGAAGCACCGGCUAACUCCGUGCCAGCAGCCGCGGUAAUACGGAGGGUGCAAGCGUUAAUCGGAAUUACUGGGCGUAAAGCGCACGCAGGCGGUCUGUCAAGUCGGAUGUGAAAUCCCCGGGCUCAACCUGGGAACUGCAUUCGAAACUGGCAGGCUUGAGUCUUGUAGAGGGGGGUAGAAUUCCAGGUGUAGCGGUGAAAUGCGUAGAGAUCUGGAGGAAUACCGGUGGCGAAGGCGGCCCCCUGGACAAAGACUGACGCUCAGGUGCGAAAGCGUGGGGAGCAAACAGGAUUAGAAACCCGAGUAGUCCCAU
RNAcentral lists this ribosomal RNA (472 nucleotides) under uncultured organism. RNAcentral describes it as "partial 16S ribosomal RNA". It matches the Rfam family "Bacterial small subunit ribosomal RNA", at positions 335 to 798 of the family's 1533-position model. The record is from RNAcentral.